This 425-nucleotide ribosomal RNA is filed under the name uncultured bacterium. RNAcentral's name for it is "bacterial SSU rRNA". It matches the Rfam family "Bacterial small subunit ribosomal RNA", at positions 354 to 796 of the family's 1533-position model. The record is from RNAcentral.
GUGGGGAAUAUUGGACAAUGGGGGAAACCCUGAUCCAGCAAUGCCGCGUGAGUGAUGAAGGCCUUAGGGUUGUAAAGCUCUUUCGACGGGGACGAUGAUGACGGUACCCGUAGAAGAAGCCCCGGCUAACUUCGUGCCAGCAGCCGCGGUAAUACGAAGGGGGCUAGCGUUGUUCGGAAUUACUGGGCGUAAAGGGCGCGUAGGCGGUCUUGUAAGUCAGAUGUGAAAGCCCCGGGCUCAACCCGGGAAUAGCAUUUGAUACUGCGAGGCUUGAGUCCGGGAGAGGAUGGCGGAAUUCCCAGUGUAGAGGUGAAAUUCGUAGAUAUUGGGAAGAACACCGGUGGCGAAGGCGGCCAUCUGGACCGGUACUGACGCUGAGGCGCGAAAGCGUGGGGAGCAAACAGGAUUAGAAACCCCUGUAGUCC